GACGAACGCUGGCGGCGUGCCUAAUACAUGCAAGUAGGACGCAGUUGCGAACGGGUGAGUAACGCGUAGGUAACUACCUAUUAGAGGGGGAUAACUAUUGGAAACGAUAGCUAAUACCGCAUACUAGUAGAUGGACCUGCGUUGUAUUAGCUAGUAGGUAGGGUAAUGGCCUACCAAGGCGGUGACGGGUAGCCGGCCUUGGAGGGUGACCGGCAACAAUGGGCAUGUGAUACGGCCCAGACUCCUACGGGAGGCAGCAGUAGGGAAUCUUCGGCAAUGGGGGGAACCCUGACCGAGCAACGCCGCGUGAGUGAAGAAGGUUUUCGGAUCGUAAAGCUCUGUUGUUAAGGAAGCGGUACUUAACCAGAAAGGGACGGCUAACUACGUGCCAGCAGCCGCGGUAAUUC
Molecule: ribosomal RNA, 407 nt
Filed under: uncultured bacterium
Lineage: Bacteria
Description: partial 16S ribosomal RNA
Rfam family: Bacterial small subunit ribosomal RNA
Source: RNAcentral